AAAUUAAUUUCAACUAUCAAGUUGAUUGCAUCCCCAAAAUCCCAAUUGAUUCUUCCCCAAAUUGAUUCUACUUCUCAUAAUCGAUUAUUCUCCUCGAACAGAAAACACAACUGGCGGAUGAUUCAGCUCAGGAACCAUAAUCUGUUAAGUUGAAGAAACGCGAUUCCACCCUUCAUCUCGACAAAACGCUAUUCCUUCCGAUUCUAUUCUCGCAAGGUACUCACUUUUUCCUUUCUUUCCAAAUUACGAUGAGAAUGGUUUUUCUGAUUUCGAUUUUAUUUCCUUUCUUUGAGUUCAGAAUUUGGCUAUUCAUGAGUUUGUGGCUAAACAUGUAAUUCUGAGUUCAGAACCAACACUUUUAUUAUACUGUGUUUGUGGUACUUGAUUUUAUUAUACUAUGUUUGUUCUUUUAACUAUAGUUUGAUUAGGACUUUGGUUUUAAAAAGCCUUGUUGAUGUUUGUUUGUGAUGUUAUAUAAAUUGGCAUCAUUGGGCAUUUACCUUUGUAGUUUAGUAAGAGAUUUCAGCUUAUUAUCAGGCCUUUGUUUUAGUAACUUAAGAUGGUAAGAUUAUCAAGAGAGUUUCAACUUGUCUCAGUGUUGUUAAAUAACCGGUAUAUCGCCGCUAUACCGCUGUUACAUAUCGGGAUUUAGAGCACCCACAACGAAAGCCGAUAUGCUAUUGCGAUUCCGCUACCACGGUAAUAGUGGCUUUUUGCAUAUCGGCGAUAUCGGUUAUGGCAGAUAGCAGAAGUUUCUGUUUUUUAUGCUUUUUACUCUAAUCAUAACAUUACAAAUAUCAUAUGAGCUGCAUUUUCAAAAAUAGUAAAAUAAAAUAGUGAUGAGUCAGUGAUGAGAUGGGGUCNNNNNNNNNNNNNNNNNNNNNNNNNNNNNNNNNNNNNUUCUCCUUACUAUUACUCUUAACUAUUUUAAAGUGGGUUGUUACGGUGAUAAUCAUAAGUAGAGAUAAUAAUUAUGUGCCUCAUAGUAGGUGAUAAGCAUAGUCGAAUCACUUUAGCCACCAGGAGCUUCACUGCUCCUUUUAAUUUAUUUGUCUAUAACUAGUAGGUGAGAGUGAAUAUUGAUCUGUAAAUUCUCAAACACUUGUGAAUAUUGAUGAGUACUAUACAUGCCUAAUAUAUAUAUGUUCACACGUUAAACAUUGUCACCACGUGAAUUGGAUAGAAAUAUUCCAUGACACGUUUUAUUAUACUUAAUCACUUCUAUUUUUAAUAAUUAGCGUUAGUCUCUUGAUGCAUUAACAGCUGCUGUUUCUAUUCCAUACUCCAACUCUGCUUUUCUUCUAAUCAAGACAUUUGUUGUUGCAUAUAUAAGAGAGAGUAUUCUUCAAGAAGGUAUGUUUCAUUGUUCAAUAGUCAUAGACAUGCAUUUUUUUUUUUAAGUAUAGUAGGAACAAUAAAAGUUGUAUAGUGCAAAUUGCAAAAGUCAAAAUUCAGCCGAUCAAAAACAUAAGAAACCAAAAUCGUCAAUAAACUACAAAGCACUCGAGUCUGAUAAAUUAUUCGAAA
This 1527-nucleotide long non-coding RNA is filed under the name Trifolium pratense (red clover). RNAcentral describes it as "long non-coding RNA (TPRA_LNC013361)". Lineage: Eukaryota; Viridiplantae; Streptophyta; Magnoliopsida; Fabales; Fabaceae. The record is from RNAcentral.